Molecule: ribosomal RNA, 482 nt
Filed under: uncultured bacterium
Lineage: Bacteria
Description: partial 16S ribosomal RNA
Rfam family: Bacterial small subunit ribosomal RNA
Source: RNAcentral
AUUGAACGCUGGCGGCAUGCUUUACACAUGCAAGUCGAACGGUAACAGGCCGCAAGGUGCUGACGAGUGGCGAACGGGUGAGUAAUGCAUCGGAACGUGCCCAGUCGUGGGGGAUAACUACUCGAAAGAGUAGCUAAUACCGCAUACGAUCUAUGGAUGAAAGCGGGGGACCGUAAGGCAUCGCGCGAUUGGAGCGGCCGAUGUCAGAUUAGGUAGUUGGUGGGGUAAAGGCUCACCAAGCCAACGAUCUGUAGCUGGUCUGAGAGGACGAGCAGCCACACUGGGACUGAGACACGGCCCAGACUCCUACGGGAGGCAGCAGUGGGGAAUUUUGGACAAUGGGCGCAAGCCUGAUCCAGCAAUGCCGCGUGCAGGAAGAAGGCCUUCGGGUUGUAAACUGCUUUUGUACGGAACGAAACGGCUCUGGUUAAUACCCGGGGCUAAUGACGGUACCGUAAGAAUAAGCACCGGCUAACUACGUG